UACGAAGGGGGCUAGCGUUGCUCGGAAUGACUGGGCGUAAAGGGCGCGUAGGCGGCUCAUACAGUCAGAUGUGAAAUUCCUGGGCUUAACCUGGGGGCUGCAUUUGAUACGUGUGGGCUUGAGUGGGGAAGAGGGUCGUGGAAUUCCCAGUGUAGAGGUGAAAUUCGUAGAUAUUGGGAAGAACACCGGUGGCGAAGGCGACUUACUGGACACAUAUUGACGCUGAGGUGCGAAAGCGUGGGGAGCAAACAGG
This 253-nucleotide ribosomal RNA is filed under the name uncultured bacterium. RNAcentral describes it as "partial 16S ribosomal RNA". It matches the Rfam family "Bacterial small subunit ribosomal RNA", at positions 524 to 776 of the family's 1533-position model. The record is from RNAcentral.